AUUGAACGCUGGCGGCAGGCCUAACACAUGCAAGUCGAGCGGCAGCGGGAAAUUAGCUUGCUACUUUUGCCGGCGAGCGGCGGACGGGUGAGUAAUGCCUGGGGAUCUGCCCAGUCGAGGGGGAUAACAGUUGGAAACGACUGCUAAUACCGCAUACGCCCUACGGGGGAAAGCAGGGGACCUUCGGGCCUUGCGCGAUUGGAUGAACCCAGGUGGGAUUAGCUAGUUGGUGAGGUAAUGGCUCACCAAGGCGACGAUCCCUAGCUGGUCUGGGAGGAUGAUCAGCCACACUGGAACUGAGACACGGUCCAGACUCCUACGGGAGGCAGCAGUGGGGAAUAUUGCACAAUGGGGGAAACCCUGAUGCAGCCAUGCCGCGUGUGUGAAGAAGGCCUUCGGGUUGUAAAGCACUUUCAGCGAGGAGGAAAGGUUGGUAGCUAAUAACUGCCAGCUGUGACGUUACUCGCAGAAGAAGCACCGGCUAACUCCGUGCCAGCCGCCGCGGUAA
This 508-nucleotide ribosomal RNA is filed under the name uncultured bacterium. RNAcentral describes it as "partial 16S ribosomal RNA". It matches the Rfam family "Bacterial small subunit ribosomal RNA", at positions 30 to 523 of the family's 1533-position model. The record is from RNAcentral.